GCGCCUGAAAGAUCAUUAAAAUUGUACUGUUUUUCAACAACUCUCAACUAAAAUUUGUAACGUUUCCAAUUCUACUGCUGGGUGCGAGUGUGCGCUCUGAGUAUAUACGGAGUGAAAUCAUUGGUGGUACAUGUGUGUGCUAAACGCGCGUGAAAAUAAUGGAUAUAAAUAUGAUAAAUAUGGUGACAAAGUGUAUUUUCUGCUUCAAGCUCUCGUCUUACGAAACCUAAAAAUAAUACACAAUAUUUACAGACUCGCAGAAUAAUCGCAACAGCCUUUCUAACGGUUGGAAAGAAAAAUCGUUUUUCCUUUUCCGUUGACCAGCAGAGUUGGACGACAUUUAUUUCGCUACAUUUCGGUACUCAAUUCAUUCUCAUUCAUUAAGACUUCAAACAGCCAUUAUCAGAACAGUUUUCAUAGUAAACGUCCAUCUCUGCUUCAACAGUGAUCGCAUGCAUUAUUUCCUCAAAUGUUCAGAUCCGAAAGUGAAUCAUCGAACGAUCCUCCAUGGAAUUAGGGAUCGACACGACAUUUGGAAAUUUGUGAGAUUGUCGCAAUUUCGAUAACGGUGCUACCUGGAUUAAUGUUGUAAUAGAAGUACUUCCACUGGUCCAACCAGACCUCAGCGAGCCUCGCAUUGUUGUGGUUGACUAUCUUGCUCGUACCACCGGGGAAAGUGUACGGCGUUGACUUACGGAAAACAUGCCCGACGUGAGAGCAAGUUGCUAUUUCCAAAGUCCCACCACACAUCCAUAUCUAACCAACUCAUUUCUGUUAGUAUGUUAGCAAUAUUAAGAAUGUUUUGUUGUUGUUAUUAUAGCAAAAAUGAGACGAACCAAAACGAACAAUGAAUUGCUAAAAAAUAAGAAAAAUGUUGAUCGACGUUUUAGUCUCUGUAAGGACGAAUGAAAAGGCAUCGAGUGACAUUUUUUAAGUUUCCUCGACGAUCAGCUCUGCUCCGAAGCCCAAACAUUGCCUGGGGCGCCACCUACAUUACUCGCCAAACUAGCAUUAUCGCAAAGUUAACAAAACAUGAAUAUGCACAUUCGCAAUGUAAUAAAGCACAUGAAUGUCUGAUGUUAGUCGAGUUGGAUGGAUGAGUGGUUAAGACGUUUCGCUUUACUGAUUUUAUCACACUUCUGUAUGCAAAAUGUUUAAUUAAUAUUUUUAUUGUAAAUAAAAUGGAUUAAUCCUGAAA
Molecule: long non-coding RNA, 1198 nt
Organism: Venturia canescens
Lineage: Eukaryota; Metazoa; Arthropoda; Insecta; Hymenoptera; Ichneumonidae
Exons: 2
Source: RefSeq, a predicted model, not a curated record